CUCGAUGUCAGCAUUAAAGAUAAAAGCAUUGUCCGACCAUGGUAUAAGUUCCUCAAGGAAAAUGACUUUCAUCAUGGAGACGAAGUAUCAUUCUAUUACCGAACGCAUGAAAAAUUUUGGGAGAUCGUGAUUAGAAAACAGAGGAAGUGGGAAUAAUUUUCUUUUUACAUGUUAUUAUAUUUUGUUAAUCGUUUGCUCUGAACAAUAUCUCUUUGACCAAUAUUAUACAUAUAUAUCUAUUUAAUCUUCAAUUAUACUUAAAUUAUUACAAUUUAACUAAUCAAACGACCCGUGUGUACGCACGGGUUGCAGACUAGUUUAUUCAAAAAUCGUAGAAGUUCUAGCCUUUUGCGAAAGAAAUCUAAUAUCAUUAUAUACAAUCUUUAGGCUAGAAAAUUUACAAAAUUGACUAUUCUUAAUUUAACGACAAAUGUACAUUUAUUUUGUUCUUUUGUCUUUUAACAAAUUCCUUUUAUUACUUUUACUUUUUCA
Molecule: long non-coding RNA, 492 nt
Filed under: Glycine max (soybean)
Lineage: Eukaryota; Viridiplantae; Streptophyta; Magnoliopsida; Fabales; Fabaceae
Description: long non-coding RNA (GMAX_LNC002230)
Source: RNAcentral